This 270-nucleotide ribosomal RNA is filed under the name Dendrobium dixanthum. RNAcentral's name for it is "partial 26S ribosomal RNA". It matches the Rfam family "Eukaryotic large subunit ribosomal RNA", at positions 1 to 263 of the family's 3401-position model. Lineage: Eukaryota; Viridiplantae; Streptophyta; Magnoliopsida; Asparagales; Orchidaceae. The record is from RNAcentral.
GCGACCCCAGGAUGGGCGAGGCCACCCGCCGAGUUUAAGCAUAUCAAUAAGCGGAGGAGAAGAAACUUACGAGGAUUCCCCUAGUAACGGCGAGCGAACCGGGAUAGGCCCAGCAUUGGGAAAUCGGGCUGCCAUGCAGCAGCCCGAAUUGUAGUCUGGAGAAGCGUCCUCAGCGACGGACCGGGCCCAAGUCCCCUGGAAAGGGGCGCCGGGGAGGGUGAGAGCCCCGUUCGGCCCGAACCCUGUCGCAACACGAGGCGUUGUCGGCGA